AGUCAGAAUUAAGGGCUGUGAUACAAAAUGAAGCAGGGCAGUUGCUGAGAGUGACUGGAGCGCUAUUUUAUGGUCAUUGGAGAAGACCUCUCUGUGAAGGUGACGUUGGAGCAGAGACAGAAAUUGAAUGAGAAAGCAAGCUGUGUCCCAUCAGGGGGAAGGGCAUUCUGGGUAGAGAGAUGAGCAAGUCAGAAGCCUUGAAGUGGGAACAUGCCCCACCCGUUUGAAGACUUGCAAGGAGGCUAAAGUGGCUGGAGCAGAGAGAGUAGGGGGAGGAGCGGCAGGGAAAGAGAUGAGAGAAGCAGCCAGAGGCCACAUCACGCAGGUCAGGGAAAGGACUUAGAAUUUUUUUCAAAGUAUGAUGGGAAACCUUGGAGAGCUUUGAGAUGGCAACAACAAGAUCUCGUUUGCAUUGCAAAGGGUCUUCCGGGCUGUUGCUUGGAGAGCCUGCCUUAAGGGAAGCAGAGGCGAAGCGGCUGGGGAAGCCCUUGUGAGGAUGUCUUCACUUGAUGGGGCAGCCCCUGGGAGAGCAGCCAGCACUUCCUGCUCCUGAAUAUACUUUGAUCCCAGACUGAGCGCCAAGCCGGAAGUGGUGAGGAGGCUCCACCACGAGGAGCUGGUGGAAGAUAUUUGCAGAGAAGAGGUGGAAGAACGUUUAUAGGGGCAGAAGAGUUCUUUGAUCCGUUCAGGAAAUCCAUCAUUUCUGCUUCUUUGCUUUUCUGGCAUUGUGCCAAUGAUGAACAGAACACUGAAUCUGCCUCUCAAGAAUCCCACAGUUCAACAGAUGACACAAAUCAAACACAGAAAAUGAUAGAAAGUGUGAUAAGAACUAUAAGGGAGGCAUGCACGGAGUCCAAAGGAGCAGACUCCUCAGUAAAGUCUUGAAUGGCACAGAACUCCUAAAACCCUUGGAAUUGCCUACUGAUAAGAGCAAUGAGAACAUCUUUGAUAUAAUAUAGUAUUUAGUCUUUUGUCCUCCAUUCCUGAAAUAGCUACAGAGCCAUAAAAGUAAAAGGAGUAUCUCUUGAUUCAUAACAAGUCCCUUUCCACCACAUGUGAGUUUAUGUUAAUGAGUUGACUUUCAUAAAGUCCCUAAGGUUGGGAGCUGGUUGCCAGGGGAACCAACUGUGUGAUUAGAGGGCCAGAGCUUUCAGUCCCACUCCUCCAUCUCUGGGGAGGAGGGAGGAGCUGGAGGUUGAAUCAAUCACCAAUAGCGAGUGAUUUAAUCAAUCAUGCCUACAUAAUGAAGCCUCCAUAAGAACCCUAAAGGAUGGGAUUCCAAGAGCUUCUGGGUUGGUGAACAUGUGGAGGUGCUAGAAGGGUGGCAUGCACUGAAGCUCUGUACUCCUUCCCUCAUACCUUGCCCUUUGCUUGUCUUCCACUGGGCUAUUCCUGAGUUAUAUCCUUUCAUAAUAAAUCAGUAAUACAGUAAGUAAACUGUUUUCUGGAGUUUUGUGAACUGUUCCAGGAAAUUAAUUGAAUCUGAGGAGGCGUUCAUAGGAACCUCCGAUUUAUAAUCAGUGGGUCAGAAGCACAGGUAUCAACCUAGACUUGGGAUUGUCGUCUGAAGGGAGGGGAGCAGUCUUGUGGGAAUGAACACUUAACUUGUGAGAUCUGACACUAUCUCCAGAUGGAAAGUGUCAGAAUUGAGUUAAAUUAUAGGACACCCAUUGCUGUUGCAGAAUUGCUUGAUGUGUGAAAAACCCACACAUCUCGUGUCGGAAGUGAAGUUGCCGAGUAUUAUGGUAGAGUGUCGAAAGUAGAGGAGACACGCAGGAGGAGUGUGUUUUUCCUUUAGAGGAUUCUGGAGUCAAAAAGGAAAUUUAAUUAUUAAAAACAGAAAAAGAAGAUCUCCGGCCCACCUAAAUGUGUCACGUCCCCUAGAAGUUUGAAACACGAGCAGUGGUGUGUGCUCAAGCUGGCUCAUACUGGCUCAUGAGAGCUAAUUGUUAAAUUUUCAGGUAUUUUGUUAGCUGGUUGUUAAACACAGCCAUUAUGAAAUAUUAAAUGAUAUCAACUUAUAAUAAAUACGUUAUAUUAAAA
Molecule: long non-coding RNA, 2043 nt
Filed under: Equus caballus (horse)
Lineage: Eukaryota; Metazoa; Chordata; Mammalia; Perissodactyla; Equidae
Description: lncRNA (ENSECAG00000045678.1)
Source: RNAcentral